Achroia grisella is the source of this 685-nucleotide long non-coding RNA. RefSeq lists it as uncharacterized. The record is from RefSeq and is a predicted model, not a curated record. The transcript is spliced from 4 exons. NCBI's taxonomy places the organism in Eukaryota, Metazoa, Arthropoda, Insecta, Lepidoptera, Pyralidae.
AAACAAUUCAGUUUACGGUGGCUUCAUAUUAGCUUUUAUAGAAUUGUUUUCUAAUUUAUAGCUUCAUUAUUGUAAUUUGGUUAUUAUUUCUAUUUCUAUGUCAGUUUUUAUUAUGUUUAUAACAUGUUUGUGCAGUUAUUUCGAUUGUUUUUGUUUCGUUUUAAUUUUAAUUAUGUGUGAUGAACUCGAAGUAUUGGAGUUUUUGGAAAUGUGUGCACCCUACGAAAAAGAAGUAAGGAAAGUGAAAAGACGGCGAUUACGCGACCAAUCCAAUCCAAUUGAUAUAGACAAUGAACAAUUUAGAAAACGUUAUAAUCUAAAUAAAGAUUUGGUGCGUAAUAUGCGUGCGAACUCAUAUGCCGGUAUCAUCGAAAUUUACAGACCUACCAGUGGAAACUAAGGUUUUAUAAUUGGAAUUUGGAAUGCUGGGUGUAUUGGGCUGUAUUUGACUGUACACAUGCCACCCCAUUGUAAAUUAAGAAGAGAUAUUACUGUAGAAAACAAUACCAUUCAUUAAAUAUAUAAUUGGUUAGUAAUGCUGACAUGGACAUUAUGAGUGUGGAUGCCAACUGGAACUGGAGCUACUCAUGACAUUUGGGCAAACCAGAGGCAUUAAGCAACAUCUAGAGGACUUAAGCUGGAAUAAAUCCUUAUGAUUACUUGGAGAUCCAGGAUAUGCUUUGGA